UACAGGGGGUGCAAACGUUGCUCGGAAUUACUGGGCGUAAAGGGCGCGUAGGCGGCCCGCUAAGUCGAACGUGAAAUCCCCGAGCUCAACUCGGGAACUGCGUCCGAUACUGGCGGGCUUGAAUCCGGGAGAGGGAUGCGGAAUUCCAGGUGUAGCGGUGAAAUGCGUAGAUAUCUGGAGGAACACCGGUGGCGAAGGCGGCAUCCUGGACCGGCAUUGACGCUGAGGCGCGAAAGCUAGGGGAGCAAACGGG
RNAcentral lists this ribosomal RNA (253 nucleotides) under uncultured bacterium. Its description in RNAcentral is "partial 16S ribosomal RNA". It matches the Rfam family "Bacterial small subunit ribosomal RNA", at positions 524 to 776 of the family's 1533-position model. The record is from RNAcentral.